AGGGAGCUUUUCAAUGCUGUCUCCAGCGUUAGCUGGUCCGUGUCUCUCUCCCAACGAGAGUGGGUCGCGGGUGUGUAGUAUAUCGGUCUGUGCGAGUAGCGGGGGAUAACUUGUCGAAGGAGUGGCUUAUACCGCAUACGCCCUACGGCAGAAAGGGGGGGAUCGCAAGACCUCUCACUAUUGGAGCGGCCGAUAUCGGAUUAGCUAGUUGGUGGGGUAAAGGCUCACCAAGGCAACGAUCCGUAGCUGGUUUGAGAGGACGACCAGCCACACUGGGACUGAAACACGGCCCAAACUCCUACGGAAGGCAGCAGUGGGAAAUUUUGGACAAUGGGGGAAACCCUGAUCCAGCCAUCCCGCGUGUAUGAUGAAGGCCUUCGGGUUGUAAAGUACUUUUGGCAGAAAAGAAAAGGUAUCUCCUAAUACGAGAUACUGCUGACGGUAUCUGCAGAAUAAGCACCGGCUAACUACGUGCCAGCAGCCGCGGUAAUACGUAGGGUGCAAGCGUUAAUCGAAAUUACUGGGCGUAAAGCGUGUGUAGGCGGUUCGGAAAGAAAGAUGUGAAAUCCCAGGGCUCAACCUUGAAACUGCAUUUUUAACUGCCGAGCUAGAGUAUGUCAGAGGGGGGGUAGAAUUCCACGUGUAGCAGUGAAAUGCGUAGAUAUGUGAGAGGAAUACCGAUGGCGAAGGCAGCCCCCUGGGAUAAUACUGACGCUCAGACACGAAAGCGUGGGGGAGCAAACAGGAUUAGAUACCCUGAAGUCCACGCCCUAAAACGAUGUCAACUAGAUGUGGGGCCGUGAGGACUUAGUAUCGCAGCUAACGCGUGAAGUCGACCGCCUGGGGAGUACGGUCGCAAGAUAAAACUCAAUGAUGACGGGGACCCGCACAGCGGUGAUGAUGUGGAUAUCGAUGCACCGCGAAAACUACCUACUCUGACAUGUCUAGAAGUCGAGAGAUUCGUCGUGCUCUCAGGAAAUCGGAACCAGGUGCUGCAUGGCUUGUCCUCAGCUUCGGUGUCUGAGAAGUGGGUAGUCCCGCAACAGGCACCUGGCAUUAGUGGCACAAUGACCUCAUCG
RNAcentral lists this ribosomal RNA (1079 nucleotides) under Alcaligenes faecalis. RNAcentral's name for it is "bacterial SSU rRNA". It matches the Rfam family "Bacterial small subunit ribosomal RNA", at positions 73 to 1131 of the family's 1533-position model. The record is from RNAcentral. Lineage: Bacteria; Pseudomonadati; Pseudomonadota; Betaproteobacteria; Burkholderiales; Alcaligenaceae.